ACAUGCAAGUCGAGCGGAGAUGAGGUGCUUGCACCUUAUCUUAGCGGCGGACGGGUGAGUAAUGCUUAGGAAUCUGCCUAUUAGUGGGGGACAACAUUCCGAAAGGAAUGCUAAUACCGCAUACGUCCUACGGGAGAAAGCAGGGGAUCUUCGGACCUUGCGCUAAUAGAUGAGCCUAAGUCGGAUUAGCUAGUUGGUGGGGUAAAGGCCUACCAAGGCGACGAUCUGUAGCGGGUCUGAGAGGAUGAUCCGCCACACUGGGACUGAGACACGGCCCAGACUCCUACGGGAGGCAGCAGUGGGGAAUAUUGGACAAUGGGGGGAACCCUGAUCCAGCCAUGCCGCGUGUGUGAAGAAGGCCUUAUGGUUGUAAAGCACUUUAAGCGAGGAGGAGGCUACUGAGACUAAUACUCUUGGAUAGUGGACGUUACUCGCAGAAUAAGCACCGGCUAACUCUGUGCCAGCAGCCGCGGUAAUACAGAGGGUGCGAGCGUUAAUCGGAUUCACUGGGCGUAAAGCGUGCGUAGGCGGCUUUUUAAGUCGGAUGUGAAAUCCCCGAGCUUAACUUGGGAAUUGCAUUCGAUACUGGGAAGCUAGAGUAUGGGAGAGGAUGGUAGAAUUCCAGGUGUAGCGGUGAAAUGCGUAGAGAUCUGGAGGAAUACCGAUGGCGAAGGCAGCCAUCUGGCCUAAUACUGACGCUGAGUACGAAAGCAUGGGGAGCAAACAGGAUUAGAUACCCUGGUAGUCCAUGCCGUAAACGAUGUCUACUAGCCGUUGGGGCCUUUGAGGCUUUAGUGGCGCAGCUAACGCGAUAAGUAGACCGCCUGGGGAGUACGGUCGCAAGACUAAAACUCAAAUGAAUUGACGGGGGCCCGCACAAGCGGUGGAGCAUGUGGUUUAAUUCGAUGCAACGCGAAAACCUUACCUGGCCUUGACAUACUAGAAACUUUCCAGAGAUGGAUUGGUGCCUUCGGGAAUCUAGAUACAGGUGCUGCAUGGCUGUCGUCAGCUCGUGUC
RNAcentral lists this ribosomal RNA (1017 nucleotides) under uncultured Acinetobacter sp. RNAcentral describes it as "bacterial SSU rRNA". It matches the Rfam family "Bacterial small subunit ribosomal RNA", at positions 53 to 1066 of the family's 1533-position model. Lineage: Bacteria; Pseudomonadati; Pseudomonadota; Gammaproteobacteria; Moraxellales; Moraxellaceae. The record is from RNAcentral.